GUGACCUUUAUCCUAUCAAGUCAUUUUUUAUAAUAGAUAUCCCACAUCGAUGAUCAGAAUUGUUAAAGUUGAUCUAAAGUAUUUGAAAUGUCUAGAAACUAAGUUUUAUAAUUUUUAAAAACUAUUUAGAUAGUGAUUAAAGAAUCACAAAAUUGAUAGUGUUUUGAUUGCCUAUACGAGUCGUGUGCUUGUUUACCAGUGUAGAGUAAUCCAACAGUUUAAAUUUUUGAUGGAAAAUUUUUAUGUUAUUUAGAUAGUGUUUGAUAAUUUCGAUCAUGAAUUGAAAAAAUUCUGACAUCUAUUUGUAAAAAGUUAUUCGUUUUUUACGGUUCAUUUUUCGACUCUUCAAUGGAUUUGAUCAUAAUUUUUAAAAAUUAUAAAAUUCGAUUUCUAAAUAUUUUUAAUAGUGUAGAUCAAUUUCAACAAUACCGAUUAUUAAUUCGGAAUUUUGGUCAUCCAUAAUGACUUGAUAGGGCAAAGUGUCUGGACUCAUAAAAAGCAUGCAGUCUAGAAUUAACAACUUGAGUUCAAAUAUUUUGGGCUGAUUGUUCGGUACAACAAAUUAUUAGCAUUAGCGGAUUGACCUAUUUGUUGUGGCAA
RNAcentral lists this long non-coding RNA (600 nucleotides) under Ananas comosus (pineapple). RNAcentral describes it as "long non-coding RNA (ACOM_LNC029631)". Lineage: Eukaryota; Viridiplantae; Streptophyta; Magnoliopsida; Poales; Bromeliaceae. The record is from RNAcentral.